This 464-nucleotide ribosomal RNA is filed under the name uncultured bacterium. RNAcentral describes it as "partial 16S ribosomal RNA". It matches the Rfam family "Bacterial small subunit ribosomal RNA", at positions 29 to 507 of the family's 1533-position model. The record is from RNAcentral.
ACGCACGCUGGCGGCGUGCUUAACACAUGCCAGUCGAACGGAAAGGCCCCUUUGGGGGUACUCGAGUGGCGAACGGGUGAGUAACACGUGAGUAACCUGCCCUUGACUUCGGGAUAACUUCAGGAAACUGGGGCUAAUACCGGAUAGGAAUCCUUGCUGCAUGGUGGGGGUUGGAAAGCUUCGGCGGUUUUGGAUGGACUCGCGGCUUAUCAGCUUGUUGGUGGGGUAGUGGCUUACCAAGGCUUUGACGGGUAGCCGGCCUGAGAGGGCGACCGGCCACAUUGGGACUGAGAUACGGCCCAGACUCCUACGGGAGGCAGCAGUGGGGAAUAUUGCACAAUGGGCGGAAGCCUGAUGCAGCAACGCCGCGUGCGGGAUGACGGCCUUCGGGUUGUAAACCGCGUUCAGCAGGGGCGAAGCUUGUGGUGACGGUACCUGCAGAAGAAGCACCGGCUAACUACGUG